This 407-nucleotide ribosomal RNA is filed under the name uncultured bacterium. RNAcentral's name for it is "partial 16S ribosomal RNA". It matches the Rfam family "Bacterial small subunit ribosomal RNA", at positions 30 to 526 of the family's 1533-position model. The record is from RNAcentral.
AUUGAACGCUGGCGGCAGGCCUAACACAUGCAAGUCGAGCGGAGCGGCGGAAGGGUGAGUAAUGCCUAGGAAUCUGCCUGGUAGUGGGGGAUAACGUCCGGAAAUGGGCGCUAAUCCCGCAUACUAUCAGAUGAGCCUAGGUCGGAUGAGCUAGUUGGUGGGGUAAAGGACUACCUAGGCGACGAUCCGUAACUGGUCUGAGAGGAUGAUCAGUCACACUGGGUCUGUGACACGGUCCAGACUCCUACGUGAGGAAGCAGUGGGGAAGAUUGGACAAUGGGCGAAUGCCCGAUCCAGCCAUGCCGCGUGUGUGAAGAAGGUCUUCGGAUUGUAAAGCACUUUAAGUUGGGAGGCGUUACCAGCAGAAUAAGCACCGGCUAACUACGUGCCAGCAGCCGCGGUAAUAC